GAUGAACGCUGGCGGCGUGCCUAAUACAUGCAAGUCGAGCGAACAGACGAGGAGCUUGCUCCUCUGACGUUAGCGGCGGACGGGUGAGUAACACGUGGAUAACCUACCUAUAAGACUGGGAUAACUUCGGGAAACCGGAGCUAAUACCGGAUAAUAUAUUGAACCGCAUGGUUCAAUAGUGAAAGACGGUUUUGCUGUCACUUAUAGAUGGAUCCGCGCCGCAUUAGCUAGUUGGUAAGGUAACGACUUACCAAGGCAACGAUGCGUAGCCGACCUGAGAGGGUGAUCGGCCACACUGGAACUGAGACACGGUCCAGACUCCUACGGGAGGCAGCAGUAGGGAAUCUUCCGCAAUGGGCGAAAGCCUGACGGAGCAACGCCGCGUGAGUGAUGAAGGUCUUCGGAUCGUAAAACUCUGUUAUUAGGGAAGAACAAAUAUGUAAGUAACUAUGCACGUCUUGACGGUACCUAAUCAGAAAGCCACGGCUAACUACGUG
RNAcentral lists this ribosomal RNA (497 nucleotides) under uncultured bacterium. RNAcentral's name for it is "partial 16S ribosomal RNA". It matches the Rfam family "Bacterial small subunit ribosomal RNA", at positions 28 to 507 of the family's 1533-position model. The record is from RNAcentral.